This 65-nucleotide transfer RNA is filed under the name Pacifastacus leniusculus (signal crayfish). RNAcentral describes it as "tRNA-Asp". The record is from RNAcentral. Lineage: Eukaryota; Metazoa; Arthropoda; Malacostraca; Decapoda; Astacidae.
UAAAAAUUAGUUAAUGUUAUAUAAUAUAAGCUUGUCAGGCUUAAGUAAUUUAAAAAUAUUUUUAU